AGAGUUUGAUCAUGGCUCAGAUUGAACGCUGGCGGCAGGCCUAACACAUGCAAGUCGAACGGUAGCACAGAGAGCUUGCUCUCGGGUGACGAGUGGCGGACGGGUGAGUAAUGUCUGGGAAACUGCCUGAUGGAGGGGGAUAACUACUGGAAACGGUAGCUAAUACCGCAUAACGUCGCAAGACCAAAGAGGGGGACCUUCGGGCCUCUUGCCAUCAGAUGUGCCCAGAUGGGAUUAGCUAGUAGGUGGGGUAACGGCUCACCUAGGCGACGAUCCCUAGCUGGUCUGAGAGGAUGACCAGCCACACUGGAACUGAGACACGGUCCAGACUCCUACGGGAGGCAGCAGUGGGGAAUAUUGCACAAUGGGCGCAAGCCUGAUGCAGCCAUGCCGCGUGUAUGAAGAAGGCCUUCGGGUUGUAAAGUACUUUCAGCGGGGAGGAAGGUGUUGUGGUUAAUAACCGCAGCAAUUGACGUUACCCGCAGAAGAAGCACCGGCUAACUCCGUGCCAGCAGCCGCGGUAAUACGGAGGGUGCAAGCGUUAAUCGGAAUUACUGGGCGUAAAGCGCACGCAGGCGGUCUGUCAAGUCGGAUGUGAAAUCCCCGGGCUCAACCUGGGAACUGCAUUCGAAACUGGCAGGCUAGAGUCUUGUAGAGGGGGGUAGAAUUCCAGGUGUAGCGGUGAAAUGCGUAGAGAUCUGGAGGAAUACCGGUGGCGAAGGCGGCCCCCUGGACAAAGACUGACGCUCAGGUGCGAAAGCGUGGGGAGCAAACAGGAUUAGAUACCCUGGUAGUCCACGCCGUAAACGAUGUCGAUUUGGAGGUUGUGCCCUUGAGGCGUGGCUUCCGGAGCUAACGCGUUAAAUCGACCGCCUGGGGAGUACGGCCGCAAGGUUAAAACUCAAAUGAAUUGACGGGGGCCCGCACAAGCGGUGGAGCAUGUGGUUUAAUUCGAUGCAACGCGAAGAACCUUACCUGGUCUUGACAUCCACAGAACUUUCCAGAGAUGGAUUGGUGCCUUCGGGAACUGUGAGACAGGUGCUGCAUGGCUGUCGUCAGCUCGUGUUGUGAAAUGUUGGGUUAAGUCCCGCAACGAGCGCAACCCUUAUCCUUUGUUGCCAGCGGUCCGGCCGGGAACUCAAAGGAGACUGCCAGUGAUAAACUGGAGGAAGGUGGGGAUGACGUCAAGUCAUCAUGGCCCUUACGACCAGGGCUACACACGUGCUACAAUGGCGCAUACAAAGAGAAGCGACCUCGCGAGAGCAAGCGGACCUCAUAAAGUGCGUCGUAGUCCGGAUUGGAGUCUGCAACUCGACUCCAUGAAGUCGGAAUCGCUAGUAAUCGUAGAUCAGAAUGCUACGGUGAAUACGUUCCCGGGCCUUGUACACACCGCCCGUCACACCAUGGGAGUGGGUUGCAAAAGAAGUAGGUAGCUUAACCUUCGGGAGGGCGCUUACCACUUUGUGAUUCAUGACUGGGGUGAAGUCGUAACAAGGUAACCGUAGGGGAACCUGCGGUUGGAUCACCUCCUUA
Molecule: ribosomal RNA, 1533 nt
Filed under: Enterobacter cloacae
Lineage: Bacteria; Pseudomonadati; Pseudomonadota; Gammaproteobacteria; Enterobacterales; Enterobacteriaceae
Description: bacterial SSU rRNA
Rfam family: Bacterial small subunit ribosomal RNA
Source: RNAcentral